GAUGAAUGCUGGCGGCGUGCCUAACACAUGCAAGUCGAGCGGCAGCGAGGGGUGCUUGCACCCUGUCGGCGAGCGGCGAACGGCUGAGUAACGCGUAGGAAUUUGCCCCAAAGUGAGGAAUAACUGCCCGAAAGGGUAGCUAAUGCCGCAUAUGGUCUUCGGAUUAAAGGAUUUAUCCGCUUUGGGAGAAGCCUGCGUUGGAUUAGGUUGUUGGUAGGGUAAUGGCCUACCAAGCCGACGAUCCAUAGCUGGUCUGAGAGGAUGAUCAGCCAGACUGGAACUGAGACACGUUCCAGACUCCUACGGGAGGCAGCAGUGAGGAAUCUUCCACAAUGGGCGAGAGCCUGAUGGAGCAACGCCGCGUGAAGUAUGAAGGCCUUCGGGUUGUAAACUUCUUUUAUGAGUGAAGAAUAUGACGGUAACUCAUGAAUAAGCACCGGCUAACUACGUG
This 451-nucleotide ribosomal RNA is filed under the name uncultured bacterium. RNAcentral's name for it is "partial 16S ribosomal RNA". It matches the Rfam family "Bacterial small subunit ribosomal RNA", at positions 28 to 507 of the family's 1533-position model. The record is from RNAcentral.